This 383-nucleotide unclassified non-coding RNA is filed under the name uncultured fungus. RNAcentral's name for it is "partial contains small subunit ribosomal RNA, internal transcribed spacer 1, and 5.8S ribosomal RNA". The stretch from base 1 to 73 matches the Rfam family "Eukaryotic small subunit ribosomal RNA", at positions 1759 to 1831 of the family's 1831-position model. The record is from RNAcentral. Lineage: Eukaryota; Fungi.
GCAAACUUGGUCAUUUAGAGGAAGUAAAAGUCGUAACAAGGUUUCCGUAGGUGAACCUGCGGAAGGAUCAUUAGAAGAAGAGGGAUCGAUCCCGACGAACGUGGGGAAUCGAUCCGAAUCCACAUCCACCCCGUGUGCACUCAUCGACCGUUUGCUUUGGCAGGAAAGGAGCCUCCGUUCCGGAGGUGCCGGGAGGACACGCGUGUAAUAUUAUGUACGAUAUUGUAUGCGUAGCCUCGGCCUGCCGGAGUUUUUUUUCCCUCAAACUCGCGCCUUUCUUUUUUCUACUGAACCUUUCGUCUCGAUUCUCUUUGCAAUCGGUCGAAUCGGAUACAACUUUCAACAACGGAUCUCUUGGCUCUCGCAUCGAUGAAGAACGCAGC